GUUCGUUGUGCACAUCAAUGUGUCUUGAAAAUUAAAUCUUACUAAUUUGAUUAAAGAGUGUUACGUAUAUUUAAAAAGUAAUAAAAGGAUUUUAAAAUGUUAUUAUUUUAGUAGAAUGAAUCGAAAAAUAUAUAAAAGAGUUAUAGAACAGAGUACUGUAAAGGAAAGAUGAAAUAAAUUGAAAAUCCAAUUGAUAAAAAGUAGAAUUAAAUAUUUGUACCUCGUGUAUUAGGGAAAAUUAAAAUGAUCUUGUUAAAUUAAGCAUUCCCGAAAAAGAAAGAGCUAAUGUAGAUAGAUAGUUUUCAUAUUAAUGAAAUUAUAAAAUCUACAUUAGUAGUGAAAUGCUAGCCGAUUUCUCAUAUCUGGUUGUUAGAGAAUUAAAUUGAAUUUAGUUAUUUUGAGGUAGAUAAAGCUUUGAAAUAAAAAAGAGUGGGAGGGAAAAGCUUCUUAUUCUAGUAAUAGGUAAAUUAUAAUAAAAAAAGUUAAAAUAUUAUUGAAUUAGGCUUAAAAA
This 511-nucleotide ribosomal RNA is filed under the name Penaeus aztecus (brown shrimp). RNAcentral's name for it is "partial 16S ribosomal RNA". Lineage: Eukaryota; Metazoa; Arthropoda; Malacostraca; Decapoda; Penaeidae. The record is from RNAcentral.